UACGAAGGGGGCUAGCGUUGCUCGGAAUUACUGGGCGUAAAGGGCGCGUAGGCGGACAGUUUAGUCAGAGGUGAAAGCCCAGGGCUCAACCCUGGAAUUGCCUUUGAUACUGGCUGUCUUGAGUACGGGAGAGGUGGUGUGGAACUCCGAGUGUAGAGGUGAAAUUCGUAGAUAUUCGGAAGAACACCAGUGGCGAAGGCGACACACUGGCCCGUUACUGACGC
Molecule: ribosomal RNA, 224 nt
Filed under: uncultured bacterium
Lineage: Bacteria
Description: partial 16S ribosomal RNA
Rfam family: Bacterial small subunit ribosomal RNA
Source: RNAcentral